Molecule: ribosomal RNA, 868 nt
Filed under: uncultured archaeon
Lineage: Archaea
Description: bacterial SSU rRNA
Rfam family: Archaeal small subunit ribosomal RNA
Source: RNAcentral
CUCCGGUUGAUCCUGCCGGACCCGACUGCUAUCAGAGUGGGACUAAGCCAUGCGAGUCAACAUAGCAAUAUGUGGCAUACGGCUCAGUAACACGUAGUCAACAUGCCCAGGGGACGUGGAUAACCUCGGGAAACUGAGGAUAAACCGCGAUAGGUCAUCACUUCUGGAAUGGGUAAUGACUUAAAUCUAUAUGGCCCCUGGAUUGGACUGCGGCCGAUCAGGCUGUUGGUGAGGUAAUGGCCCACCAAACCUGUAACCGGUACGGGCUCUGAGAGGAGGAGCCCGGAGAUGGGCACUGAGACAAGGGCCCAGGCCCUAUGGGGCGCAGCAGGCGCGAAACCUCUGCAAUAGGCGAAAGCUUGACAGGGUUACUCUGAGUGAUUUUCGUUAAGGAGAUCUUUUGGCACCUCUAAAAAUGGUGCAGAAUAAGGGGUGGGCAAGUCUGGUGUCAGCCGCCGCGGUAAUACCAGCACCCCGAGUGGUCGGGACGUUUAUUGGGCCUAAAGCAUCCGUAGCCGGUUCUACAAGUCUUCCGUUAAAUCCACCUGCUUAACAGAUGGGCUGCGGAAGAUACUAUAGAGCUAGGAGGCGGGAGAGGCAAGCGGUACUCGAUGGGUAGGGGUAAAAUCCGUUGAUCCAUUGAAGACCACCAGUGGCGAAGGCGGCUUGCCAGAACGCGCUCGACGGUGAGGGAUGAAAGCUGGGGGAGCAAACCGGAUUAGAUACCCGGGUAGUCCCAGCUGUAAACGAUGCAGACUCGGUGAUGAGUUGGCUUAUUGCUAACUCAGUGCCGCAGGGAAGCCGUUAAGUUUGCCGCCUGGGGAGUACGGUCGCAAGACUGAAACUUAAAGGAAUUGGCGGGGGAGCA